This 402-nucleotide ribosomal RNA is filed under the name bacterium. RNAcentral's name for it is "partial 16S ribosomal RNA". It matches the Rfam family "Bacterial small subunit ribosomal RNA", at positions 355 to 776 of the family's 1533-position model. The record is from RNAcentral.
UGGGGAAUUUUGCACAAUGGGGGAAACCCUGAUGCAGCGACGCCGCGUGAUUUAGAAGGCCUUCGGGUUGUAAAAAUCUUUUCUAUGGGAAGAAAAUGACAGUACCAUAGGAAUAAGGACCGGCUAAUUACGUGCCAGCAGCCGCGGUAAUACGUAAGGUCCGAGCGUUGUCCGGACUCAUUGGGCGUAAAGGGUACGUAGGCGGGUAAGCAAGUUAGAAGUGAAAUCCUAUAGCUCAACUAUAGUAAGCGUUUAAAACUGCUCAGCUUGAGGUAUGGAAGGGAAAGUGGAGUUCCUAGUGUAGCGGUGGAGUGCGCAGAGAUUAGGAGGAGUACCGGUGGCGAAGGGGAGUUUGUGGGCAUGACCGGACGCGGAGGUACGGGAGGGUGGGUAGCGAAGAGG